AGAGUUUGAUCCUGGCUCAGAACGAACGCUGACGGCAUGCCUAACACAUGCAAGUCGAACGAACCCUUCGGGGUUAGUGGCGCACGGGUGCGUAACGCGUGGGAAUCUGCCCUUGGGUUCGGAAUAACAGUUAGAAAUGACUGCUAAUACCGGAUGAAGUCUUCGGACCAAAGAUUUAUCGCCCAGGGAUGAGCCCGCGUAGGAUUAGGUAGUUGGUGGGGUAAAGGCCUACCAAGCCGACGAUCCUUAGCUGGUCUGAGAGGAUGAUCAGCCACACUGGGACUGAGACACGGCCCAGACUCCUACGGGAGGCAGCAGUGGGGAAUAUUGGACAAUGGGGGAAACCCUGAUCCAGCAAUGCCGCGUGAGUGAUGAAGGCCUUCGGGUCGUAAAGCUCUUUUACCAGGGAUGAUAAUGACAGUACCUGGAGAAUAAGCUCCGGCUAACUCCGUGCCAGCAGCCGCGGUAAUACGGAGGGAGCUAGCGUUGUUCGGAAUUACUGGGCGUAAAGCGCACGUAGGCGGUUACUCAAGUCAGAGGUGAAAGCCCGGGGCUCAACCCCGGAACUGCCUUUGAAACUAGGUGACUUGAAUCUUGGAGAGGCGAGUGGAAUUCCGAGUGUAGAGGUGAAAUUCGUAGAUAUUCGGAAGAACACCAGUGGCGAAGGCGACUCGCUGGACAAGUAUUGACGCUGAGGUG
RNAcentral lists this ribosomal RNA (699 nucleotides) under uncultured bacterium. RNAcentral's name for it is "bacterial SSU rRNA". It matches the Rfam family "Bacterial small subunit ribosomal RNA", at positions 8 to 753 of the family's 1533-position model. The record is from RNAcentral.